AACAAACCACGAAACCCUGCCAACCAUGGCUGCUCCAGUGAGAGGCUCCUCAGGAGUGUCUUAGCAUUUCCUGUCUGCUCCCUCAGGCGCCCUCCUGACCCCGAGAGGGGCCCUAGUGUCCCAUAGCCGGAAGCAUGGGGAGUGCUGGAAACCCCACUGCAGUGGGGGUCCUGGGGGUGGCCACGGCGCUGCUCGCCUUGGCCGCAUCACUCAUGCCUCCCAGAGGGGCCUGUGGGGCUGGAGGAGGGGACAGCAGCCUGUGAAGCAACGGAGC
Molecule: long non-coding RNA, 274 nt
Filed under: Homo sapiens (human)
Lineage: Eukaryota; Metazoa; Chordata; Mammalia; Primates; Hominidae
Description: HSALNT0152491
Source: RNAcentral